UGGAAAUCUCAGCCAUUUAGCGUUUGGGUCAAGACGAAGGCGAGUUCUGGACAGACGUACGCUGUCAGGGAGUGUUUACUUCGCCUCCAGUUCUGUUCCUCCCCACCCUGGUGCUGCUCCAGGUCACAUACUCGUCCUGAGUCGGCUUCAGCCUCUCCGCGCAGAAGUCUCCCGGAGCCGACUUCUGCGAGUCGAGUACUCUUAUGUGAAGUCUACCAAGCUCGUGUUCAAGGGAACCAAGGCGAAGAGGUGGGUCCUGCAGCUCUGGCGGGAGCCUCUUCAGUUCUUUUCGGACGCACUCCACCCCCGCGAAUCCGGUGGAAGUAGUGGCGCGGAGAGCUGGCUUCGUGGCCUCCCAGGCUUCGCCCUGGCCCCUGUCCGGGCUGGAUGGAGGCUGGACCGCGGUUCCUGGCGCCUGUGCAGAGAGGGGCAGCCUCCCGCGCGGACGACCCUGGAAACAGGAUAGACGGGCGGGUGACCCGUGGCCCUGUACCCACGAGUUUGGGUCCCCUGAGGCAUCUCUCCAGGCCUCUGCCUGUAAGAAGAAAAAGAGCAAAGAUAAGAAGAGAAAAAGAGAAGAAGAUGAAGAAACCCAGCUUGAUAUGUUGUUCUGCUUUUCCAGAAUCCUGCCCUUUCCAAAAGGAAGACGGUAUGAUUAAGUUCCAGGAAAGGGUGACAUUCAAGGACAUAGCUGUUAUCUUCACCAAGGAAGAGCUGGCAGUAUUGGAUAAAGCCCAGAUAAACCUGUACCAAGAUGUGAUGCUGGAAAACUUCAGGAACUUCAUCUCAGUGGAUGGGAUUAAAAACAACAUUUUGAAUCUUCAGGGAAAGGGGUUAAGUUACCUUUCUCAAGAAGAGCUUCAUUGCUGGCAGAUUUGGAAACAAAGGAUCCGGGAUUUAAGUGUGAGUCAGGAUUAUAUCAUGAACCUUCAAGAACAGUGUUCCCCACAUUUAGAAGAUGUUUCCCUCUGUGAAGAGUGGGCAGGCAUGUCUCUUCAGAUUUCUGAAAAUGAAAACUAUGUAGUAAAUGCCAUUAUCAAAAAUCAAGAUAUCACAGCAUGGCAAAGCCUGACACAGGUUCUUACUCCAGAAUCUUGGAGGAAAGCCAACAUAAUGACCGAGCCCCAGAAAUCUCAGGGAAGAUAUAAGGGAAUUUACGUGGAAGAGAAAUUGUACAGACAUGCUCGGCAUGAUGAGAGCCUCAAUUGGACCUCACGUGAUCAUCAUGAGUCCCAAGAAUGUAAAGGAGAGGACCCUGGUAGACACCCCAACUGUGGGAAAAACUUGGGUAUGAAAUCAACAGUUGAACAACAUCAUGCGGUCCAUGUUUUACCACAGCCUUUCACAUGUAAUAACUGUGGGGUGGCCUUUGCAGAUGAUACAGAUCCUCGUGUCCAUCACAGCACUCACCUAGGAGAAAAAUCUUAUAAAUGUGACCAGUAUGGAAAGAACUUAAGUCAGAGCCAAUAUCUUAUUGUUCAUUGUAAAACCCACUCAGGAGAGACUCCCUAUGAAUUCCAUGAAUGGCCUACAGGCGCAAACAGAGCUCAGACCUUCCCAGAUGUCAGAAAGUCCCCUCAGGAGACAAUCCCUACAAAUGUAAAGAAUGUGGCAAGGGCUUCAGGUGCAACUCCUCCCUUCACAACCAUCAUCGAGUCCACACAGGGGAGAUGCCCUACAAAUGCCACGUAUGUGGGAAAGCGUUUGGAUUUAGGUCACUUCCUUGUAUUCAUCAGGGAGUACACACAGGGAAAAAGCCCUACAAAUGUGAAGAGUGUGGGAAGGGCUUUGAACAGAGCUCCAACCUUCUUAUCCAUCAGAGAGUCCACACUGGAGAGAAGCCCUACAAAUCCAGUGAGUGUGGCAAGUGCUUUAGUUCAAGCUCCGUUCUUCAAGUCCACUGGAGGUCUCACACAGGGGAGAAACCUUAUAGGUGUGGUGAGUGUGGAAAGGGCUUCAGCCAAAGUACACACCUUCACAUUCACCAGAGAGUCCACACAGGGGAGAAACAAUACAAAUGCAAUGUGUGUGGAAAGGAUUUUGGGUAUAGUUCUGUUCUUCACACUCAUCAGAGAGUUCACACUGCAGAAAAACCAUAUAAAUGCGAAGUGUGUGGAAAGUGCUUUAGUUACAGUUCAUAUUUUCACUUCCAUCAAAGCAAUCACACAAGAGAGAAACCAUAUAAAUGUGAUGAGUGUGGUAAAGGCUUCAGUCGGAAUUCAGAUCUUCAUGUUCAUCUCAGAGUCCACAGAGGACAGAGGCCCUAUAAGUGUAAGGCAUGUGGUAAGGGCUUCAGUCGUAAUUCGCACCUCCUUGCCCAACAGAGAGUGCAUAUAGAUAAGACACAGUACACACAUUGUGAGCAUGACAAAGACCUUCUGACUCAUCAAAGACUACAUGAGCAGAGAGAAACAUUAUAAAUGUAGUAAGUCAGGGUUAAAUUAGGAAAACAGAAGCCACACUGUAUUCCAGAUAAUAGAGGCUUACUCAGCCUGUGGGAGGGCUGGGGGAGCAAAAGACAGGGACACUGCCAUCGAUAAUGUCAGCCUGCAGCACUGGAGUGUGCCAGGCAAGGGUUGUGGAUUUCAACAACUUCUGUGAAGCUCCCAUCAACUGCUGUAUGCUACAAUGGCAAAGUAGGUUACUCUUGACAAAUGGGUGGUUUGUGGUAGUGUUUGUAGUUAGAGGUCAAAUUUCCAUUAAAGGGUGUGUCCAGGAAGGAAAUUCUAAUUGGGAUGAUUAUGGUAAGGUCUUCAGUUUAGCCAAAGUCCUUAGAUUUUUUUAGUCCCCAACAGAAAAAUACUCUCUGUAUGAAGAACAUUCAAAAGUGUGCUCAGAAAUGAAACCGAUGCUCUUACUAUGAAAGAAUAUUAGUACUCAAGUUUUCCAUGAGAUUCUCUGCACAGGCGAGAAGCUCUACAGAAGUGGCAUUUGAAGGGUGUGGCAGAGGCAGUGCUGUGUUUAUCACACUGGUUCCAUUUCCUUGCAAAUAAGAAGACUCUAUUUCCCAAUAACACUUGCAGUUAAGAGUGUGCCCAUGUUUGAGCUCUAGCCAAUGGAAUAUGAGCAAAAGUGAUAUAAGCCACUUUCAGGUCUAGCCUUUAUAAACAUCCUCAGGCUUCUCUAUUCCUGCCAAGGUGACCUUGGAGGCUGCUUAUUCCAGACUGCAUUGAUAGAAGGUCGCUAUCUGAUCUGUGUUGGAUUUCUUUUUAGAGUAAGAAAUAAAAAUUCACUGUGUAUCACCACUGAGAUUUUUGGUGGUUUAUUUGUUACUGCAGCAUUGCCUAGGCCAUCCUGACUAGCAUGGAGGGAUUUUAUAGCAAUAUGUUUCAUCGUCAUUGGAGUCCACAUACAGAAGCAACAUUGUAAUUCAGAGUUCAAAGCUUUUAAGUCUUUAAGGCUUGAUGUGGCAGUGCAACCAUCUAAAAUGGUAUGGAUGGGACUUCUCCAGUGAUAACCUUCAUUCAUUGGUGUGUACACCAAAGAGAAAUGUUCAAGAUGAUAUAGCUGUGGUAAAACUUUACUGAAAAGUACAACCCACAGACGUAAGAAAUCUCAUACAAUAGAGAAACUCUGUAGUGUGGGAGCUGAAUAAGUUUGUCAGCUCCCACCUUAAAUGUGAUUAAAAAUUAACUAGAAUAGGUGUUCUGUGGUUAGUCUUAAUAAAAUUAAUUGAAUAAAACUAACAUUUAUGAAAGUGAGCAACAACAUGUAAAAAACCAACAGUGUUAAUUGCAGACUGAUGCAGUCUUCUUCUCAGCAGACUUGUAUAAUAAUGGGUUUUUAAAGGGUGCUCUUUCUAUCAGCUUCCUCCCAAAAUUGUCAUUUAAUUGGGGAUAAUAGAUGAAUUCGAGAG
Pan troglodytes (chimpanzee) is the source of this 3856-nucleotide long non-coding RNA. RefSeq annotates it as zinc finger protein 285. The transcript has 5 exons. The record is from RefSeq and is a predicted model, not a curated record. NCBI's taxonomy places the organism in Eukaryota, Metazoa, Chordata, Mammalia, Primates, Hominidae.